Mesocricetus auratus (golden hamster) is the source of this 350-nucleotide long non-coding RNA. RefSeq lists it as uncharacterized. The record is from RefSeq and is a predicted model, not a curated record. NCBI's taxonomy places the organism in Eukaryota, Metazoa, Chordata, Mammalia, Rodentia, Cricetidae. The transcript has 2 exons.
CCAGUGUCAUUCUGCCCGAGGACCGUGUUGCUGUCCGUGUGGAUGAUCUGGGGAGGCAACGCUGCUGAGGGCCUACAGCGGUACUGGUGUGACCUGAAGCUGCUGCCGCUGACACUCAGCUUCAGACCAGCGCACUACAGCAUUGAACAGCCGAACCUCACGGAUGCCGAGAGUGUCCCGCUCCAGCACUGCCACCAGUGUGUCUGCGGUAGGGAGAGCCUGUGAGCCCUGGUGCCUGUAACCACGUGGGCCUUGUGUAGACCAGCCACGUACAGGAGCCACCUCAUAGCCAGGGCUUGGCAACUGUGGCCCUCUGUCCAUGUUGAUCAAUAAAGUUUUAUUGACACAUG